AUUGAACGCUGGCGGCAGGCCUAACACAUGCAAGUCGAGCGGAUGAACGGAGCUUGCUCCUGGAUUCAGCGGCGGACGGGUGAGUAAUGCCUAGGAAUCUGCCUGGUAGUGGGGUAUAACGUCCGGAAACGGGCGCUAAUACCGCAUACGUCCUGAGGGAGAAAGUGGGGGAUCUUCGGACCUCACGCUAUCAGAUGAGCCUAGGUCGGAUUAGCUAGUUGGUGGGGUAAAGGCCUACCAAGGCGACGAUCCGUAACUGGUCUGAGAGGAUGAUCAGUCACACUGGAACUGAGACACGGUCCAGACUCCUACGGGAGGCAGCAGUGGGGAAUAUUGGACAAUGGGCGAAAGCCUGAUCCAGCCAUGCCGCGUGUGUGAAGAAGGUCUUCGGAUUGUAAAGCACUUUAAGUUGGGAGGAAGGGCAGUAAGUUAAUACCUUGCUGUUUUGACGUUACCAACAGAAUAAGCACCGGCUAACUUCGUG
This 484-nucleotide ribosomal RNA is filed under the name uncultured bacterium. RNAcentral's name for it is "partial 16S ribosomal RNA". It matches the Rfam family "Bacterial small subunit ribosomal RNA", at positions 30 to 507 of the family's 1533-position model. The record is from RNAcentral.